Long non-coding RNA from Mauremys mutica (yellowpond turtle), 1438 nucleotides. RefSeq lists it as uncharacterized. Lineage: Eukaryota; Metazoa; Chordata; Testudines; Geoemydidae. The record is from RefSeq and is a predicted model, not a curated record. The transcript has 4 exons.
CGAAGCGAGGAUCUGAUAGGGCUUGCGCCGCUGCUCAGGACCACCACGUUUGAUCUUGAUGCUCGUUCGUAGAGAGGAGCCUAGGAUCACUUCCUGCCCUGAGCCCGGUUCCAUGGACGAUAAAGAAUCUGAAAGGAGAUCAAGCCAAGGGAGAGUUUAUUGAAUAGGAGGGGCAGGUAAUGGACACUUGUUUGUUCCACUGCCAAGAGCCCAGCCUUCCUAGCCAGACCUCCAGCACUGGUCUGCUCACAGCCGGAACUAUUUCUAAUUCAAGGUGACAAACAGUCCCGGCCCAGAAGAGUUUACAAUCGAAGACAAGUUGCCAAAAAUAAGCCAUAUAACUAUCAGAAGUCCUCCCUGGCUGUUAUCCGUUGCCAGUUUCACACAGACGGCCCCGUGGGAGUGGAUCUUGCAGAGAGAUUUGAAAGAGGGCAAAGCAGUGCCGUGCUUUAUGGACGAGGCGACGACAAGGGUGCCAGCAGCACUGAAGGAAGUAAAUGGUGCUUAGCCAAGAAGCAUUUGUGUUGGUGCCAAAAGCCCCAACCAACCUCUCAAAGGCACAGAGAGAACAUAAUCGUGAACAGAUUCAAAACAUUUUCCCCUUGCUCUGACCAUUUCUGUAGGAAAAAAUUAUGCAGAGCAAGCUAUGCAUCUGUCAAGGCAUUGAGCCCCAGCUCCAAACCAAGUGAUUUCUCUUUGUUACAUCAGCAGCAGAGAAAACUCUGAUGUGUGAGAAUCAGAAAACCCGCUUUGCCACAGGCCUGUUGUCAGAGGACUGGUGGGGAGGGAAAUGGCUCCAACUGAAUCACUCAAAAUAUUGAGUGCUUCAUUUUAAAUAGUAGGAACACAUGAGCCACUAAGUCAUGUUUCCACAAAUCAGUGUUUUCUGAAUUUUAAUCAGGGGAGUUGCCUGGAUUAUGGAUUUGCAGGCCUGACCCAUUCUAGGGGCCAUCAGACAUGAUGAAUACUAAAAAGGCCAGCUCCUCAGCUGAUGUCAGUGGACUAUGGCGAUUGGACCAGAGCCUCAGCUGCUGUCAAAGACUGCAAUGAGAACAUUUUUGUAGUGGUUACAUGAAGCAGAACACAACACGGCUUGAUCUGCUGCUGAGCUAGGUCUGUAGUGCUGAUAGCUGCAGGUGCUCAGUGUGUAAAACUCAGCCAUUUUAGUCACCUCAUUAUGGAUUUAGGAGCCUAACUUUAGGCACCUACUUUUAAAAAUCAGCUACUGUGCUGAACCAGCACUGAGCCCUAGCAUCCAGCAGCUUAUUGAGAGAGAGCAGGUGAAAAGAAGAGUCAUAUAUUCUAGGAGUCUAGAACUAGCCAAUUCUAGAACUGUUAGAGGGAUGUCACUCUGUUCUCACACUAACUUCUCCAGAAAAGCAAUGUUUAGCCCCAGGCUGUGAGACACUCACCAUGAAUUCCUAUCAUAUGCUCUAGA